AUUCCAGCUCCAAUAGCGUAUAUUAAAGUUGUUGCAGUUAAAAAGCUCGUAGUUGGAUUUCUGGGAGGGUGGCGAUGUCCGCUUAACGUGUGUGCAGCGGCGCCCUUCCAUCCUUCUGUUAGCGUCUCUUGGCAUUCAUUUGCUGGUGGCGGGCUCAGAUAUUUUACCUUGAGAAAAUUAGAGUGUUUCAGGCAGGCUAGGCCGGAAUACAUUAGCAUGGAAUAAUGGAAUAGGACUACGGUCUCUUUGUUGGUUUGAGGGACUGCAGUAAUGAUUAAUAGGGAUAGUUGGGGGCAUUAGUAUUUAAUUGUCAGAGGUGAAAUUCUCAGAUUUGUUAAAGACUAACUUAUGCGAAAGCAUUUGCCAAGGAUGUUUUCAUUA
Molecule: ribosomal RNA, 381 nt
Filed under: Strombidiidae sp.
Lineage: Eukaryota; Ciliophora; Spirotrichea; Strombidiidae
Description: partial small subunit ribosomal RNA
Rfam family: Eukaryotic small subunit ribosomal RNA
Source: RNAcentral